RNAcentral lists this transfer RNA (65 nucleotides) under Aegla aff. longirostri MHT-2018. RNAcentral's name for it is "tRNA-Lys". The record is from RNAcentral. Lineage: Eukaryota; Metazoa; Arthropoda; Malacostraca; Decapoda; Aeglidae.
CAUCUGGUGACUGAAUUUUAAGUGUAAGCCUUUUAAGCCUAUUAUAGUAAUAUUACUUCAGAUGA